GACGGGAGUUGUCGCCCGCUCCCCGUCAAUUGCCUACUUCGCUGAGGACCUCGCAUUUCACGGCUAGAUUUCGCUGACCUGACUCUGGAUCAGGUAAUCGGUGGUUCGAAUCCACCCUCCGUCC
This 124-nucleotide transfer RNA is filed under the name Chloroflexota bacterium. RNAcentral's name for it is "tRNA-OTHER". Lineage: Bacteria; Bacillati; Chloroflexota. The record is from RNAcentral.